This 206-nucleotide ribosomal RNA is filed under the name uncultured bacterium. RNAcentral describes it as "partial 16S ribosomal RNA". It matches the Rfam family "Bacterial small subunit ribosomal RNA", at positions 1294 to 1500 of the family's 1533-position model. The record is from RNAcentral.
CGGAUUGUAGUCUGCAACUCGACUACAUGAAGCUGGAAUCGCUGUAAUCGCGAAUCAGAAUGUCGCGGUGAAUACGUUCCCGGGUCUUGUGCACACCGCCCGUCACACCAUGGGAGCCGGGAAUGCCCGAAGUCAGUGGCCCAACCGCAGGGAGGGAGCUGCCGAAGGCAGGCCUGGUGACUGGGGUGAAGUCGUAACAAGGUACC